This 429-nucleotide ribosomal RNA is filed under the name Pseudomonadota bacterium. RNAcentral's name for it is "Proteobacteria bacterium partial 16S ribosomal RNA". It matches the Rfam family "Bacterial small subunit ribosomal RNA", at positions 355 to 776 of the family's 1533-position model. The record is from RNAcentral. Lineage: Bacteria; Pseudomonadati; Pseudomonadota.
UGGGGAAUAUUGGACAAUGGGCGAAAGCCUGAUCCAGCCAUGCCGCGUGUGUGAAGAAGGUCUUCGGAUUGUAAAGCACUUUAAGUUGGGAGGAAGGGCAGUAAGCGAAUACCUUGCUGUUUUGACGUUACCGACAGAAUAAGCACCGGCUAACUCUGUGCCAGCAGCCGCGGUAAUACAGAGGGUGCAAGCGUUAAUCGGAAUUACUGGGCGUAAAGCGCGCGUAGGUGGUUCGUUAAGUUGGAUGUGAAAGCCCCGGGCUCAACCUGAGAACUGCAUCCAAAACUGGCGAGCUUGAGUUAGGCUGAGGGUGGUGGAAUUUCCCGUGUAGCGGUGAAAUGCGUAGAUAUAGGAAGGAACACCAGUGGCGAAGGCGACCACCUGGGCUCAUACUGACACUGAGGUGCGAAAGCGUGGGGAGCAAACAGG